Molecule: long non-coding RNA, 22858 nt
Filed under: Panax ginseng (ginseng)
Lineage: Eukaryota; Viridiplantae; Streptophyta; Magnoliopsida; Apiales; Araliaceae
Description: long non-coding RNA (PGIN_LNC006736)
Rfam family: MIR6135 microRNA precursor family (bases 13117-13238)
Source: RNAcentral
AAUCAAUAUAUCACAUAAUAUCCCUAUAUACUGACCAACUAACAAAUAAGCUUAGGUAGGACACACUAGCGAAGGAUUUACUCGUCUCUCCCCUCCUAGUUCUAUUCCCCGAUCUCCGCCAGAGAUCAUAUCCCUAAGCUCUGAUACCAACUGUGACGCCCCCAAAAUAGGUAUACAUCACCCAUUCUGAGUUGUCAAUACAUGGUACAGAAACAACUACAACUUUAUUAUUACAACAGUAAAACUGUGAGUUUGAAUACAAAUAUUAUCUUCUAGACAAUAUCUAUACUCAAAUAAAUCCUCAUCACAUUUAUUGAUACAUUAUUUUACAAAAAUGGUGAGGACUACUAAACAACUCUCUCUAGAACCUUCAUUCCAUACCCCGACUCGUACUCGCUAUAUUCUCGCCUCCUGAGAAGAAAAAUGGAACAAAAAGGAAAAGGGUGAGCUCAACUAGCCCAGUAAAGAAUAUUAUGACUAAGAUAAUAUACAACAAAUUAUCGUUAGUCUUCAACAGAGAAAAAUCUAAUAGAAUACAAUAGACAACAAGUUUUAAAUCAAUAUUCGCAGCGGAAAUAAUAAUUCAUUAGAAGAGUUAAGUAGAGAAUGCAAACUACUAUCUUCUAUAUAUGAAUUUAAAAGUUCAUCGUCUAUCUUUUAUCCCUGUAACAUCAAUCAAUAUAUAUCUGGAAUCAAAUAUUCAUCUUUGCUCUACAGGCCAAAGAUAUUCAUCAGUUGGUCAUGUUCAUCUAAACACCUGUUCAUCUUUGCACUACGGGCCAAAGAUAUUCAUCAGAAAUCAUUCAUCUUUACACUACAGGCCAAAGAUAUUCAGUUAUAUCAUCAUUUAGGACUGAGGAUGAUGAAAAAUAUUUUAAAGAAAACGAAUCUAGUGAAACAAAAGAAUAAAUAUUAAGGAUUCGUAUUUCAACUAUUCCAUGUCCAAAAAUACCUCAUAAAUAAUCAUAGUGGAGUAAAAUUCAAGAAUGAUCAAAAUAUGGAUACAAUCAAAGCUAGUAUCCAGAAUAUAUAUUUUGGACAAAAAGAAGAAAAUUUCAUUUUUCGGUGAAUAGUGCCUGUUGGGUCAUGAUAUUUCCCCUCUUUGGGCCGAGUAAGUUGGGCUCACUUGUUUAAUUAAUCUAUUGGGCCAUCAUUAUUGAACCUUGAAAGUCACUGGGCCUAGUCUCCAUAUUAUUUCUAUUUAAACCUAUAAGACCGGGUCGGUUCAUAGGACUAACCUAUUGGAUCAUUUAAUAUCUAUUACUUUGACUUGUAAUGAUGAAAAAGCAUAACAGUUGACUAAGACACCUGCCAUGUAUUAAUGUGGAUGAGAUUAUAGCCGGCCGACGGCAUAAACAGUGACCAAAGGUAGUGAGUAGACUGCAGACGGGCGGCAGGACCCAUCAGAUCACGGGGGCUGUAUCAGAGGUAGUGGGUGGCACGGUAAACCGGGCAAAGAGAGUAUAAGCUAUCAACUAAGUCUAAACAAAUAGGUACGUUCUAAUACACGUUCACAUUCAUAUUCAUACACACAACUGAGAAUUAUUAUCUCUCUCAAUACACUAGACAUUACAUCCUCCAUUGCUAACCUUGUGAACAUGUAUACUUACUCUCACGCCUGAGCUAUCCCCCGGCGGUCCGGCCGUCAAGCUUGUGGUGUUUAUCGUGUUUACUGUGCAGGAUCAGGGCGUCUUACGUGAUUGGGACGUUGGAGAAGAUCCUGGCGUUAACAUUUGGCGCUAGAAGGAGGGCUGAGUUCUAGUGUCCUGAGUAUUUUUCAAUCACAAACUGUGUUUGUUCUACGUCAGUAUUCAUGGUGAAGAGUAGAACACCUACACCCGAUGGGCAGCCUAUGGCUGUCAGUGAAUCAGUACCACGAGUGUCUGUCAAGGAUCGUUUGGGACCUGCAAUAAGUGUUCAUGCCAGCACAACGUCCAAACGAUCACAUGAAGAUUCUCGGCCGAGGGCUGUGGGCAACGUUAAACGAAAGCUAGUUUUCACGGCGGAGAAAGGGUCUGGCCAUGGUUGAAAACGAGUAGAAGGCACCUCAUCUAGAACUCGAUAUCGAGAUGACCAAGACAAAAAGGCCUCACGACUGGCUAAGAUGGCAGAUGAAGCAGAUAGGGCCAUGGAGGUAUUUGUGAAGCAGCGACAGGAUAUAGCUGAGCAGAUGGCUCGAAUGGCGGAGUUGAGGGAUGAAGAGUUCAGUUAUGUUCAGUCCGAAGAGCGAGGGCAUCGGAGUGGGAACGAACCUGCCUAUUCAGGACGUGAGUCUCGAGGCCAACCUCGAGAAAGAAGAAGAUCCCGAAGCCCUACUCCUCAAGGAUCGAAGAGGGCACAUCACCCUGUCGAUUCUAAGGAGCAGGGUCGAAACGAACAAAGAGGUCGAUCCAGAGAUCGCACUCCUGAGAAUACAAAGAAAACACUUGUUGUGGCACAUUCUCGCCAUAGUGCCCGAGUUCAGAGACGAAGUAUAUCUAGAGGUCAUACUCCCGAGAGUCUACUGAGGGUACACCACCCUGUGGACGCUCGUCAUCGGAAAAGUCCCUCUAAAGUUGGAGGUUCUAUUGUAAGAAACCGGUCCACUCAGAAGAGGAAGGAGUCACCGGAAAAAGAAGCAUCAUCUCAACCAGAAGGUGUGGAGUAUCUGGUUAAAGAAUUAAAGGAACUUCGGAAGCAGCUUGCCGAAGUAAAGAAAACAAAAGAUACUUCGGGAAAGAAGGCAUCUCCUUUUUUCGCGGAGAUUCUAAAAGAGAAGGCUGACCCCACAAAGAAGUUGCCCCACAUUGAAAGUUAUGAUGGAUCGGGGGAUCCCUACGACCACAGUCAGGCGUUCGACCGACUGAUGGAUUAUUAUGACUUUAGCGAUGCUGCUAAGUGUCAUACUUUUGUCACGACGCUCAGAAAGGACGCCCGACAGUGGAUGGGGACUUUUCCCUCGGAUUCAAUUUCAUCUUGGGCAGACAUGUGCAUUAAAUUUCAUGCUCUCUUCGGGAGUAACAAAAGAAGGGGAAAACCAACUGGUUCGUUGGCUCAAGUUCGACAGUAUUCGAAUGAGUCUUUGGGCCAAUAUGUGAAGCGGUUUCGUGAAGUAGUCGGCCAAGUGGCAGACCUGAACGAUCUACAAGCUGUGGGACUAUUUCAGAAUGGGUUAGAUUUGGUCAAAUCAGAAAAGUUGGUGAAGAAAUUAAUAUUUAACCACCCGAAGAGUCUCGCUGAAGCCUUCGACAAAGCUGAAGGCUAUAUCGUGGUGGAGGAAGCCAUGAACAGCCUCAAACGUCCUUCUUUAGACCGGCUUAAGGAGACAGAUUGGGACAAAACCGAUGGGGACCAGAAGAAGAAUGAAGGGAAUAAAGACCGCUAUGAAGGCGGGUCGAAGAGAUACAACAAUUGGAGAUAGGGUGGAGGACGUUCGUCCGCUCCAACCCAGAGAGUAAAUAAGACAUACACAACACUUAACACCGAUAGGGCUGUUAUCUUGGAUCAAAUUAAAGAUCAACCUAUCUUCGAGCCACCACGAGAUAACAUUAAGCCCAGAAAAGGGAAUCCUCGUAAGUAUUGUGAUUACAAUCAAGCCUCAGGUCACGAUACGAACGACUGUGCUAGUUUGAAAGAUUUCAUUAAAAGAAAGGUACAAGGCGGGGCUUUAGUUUAGUAUGUGGCUGCCAGAACUAAUCAACAGCAGGAUAGAGGACCUGUUUCGGCAGCUCAACCAGUUCAGCAAGAGUUGCCAGCUCCGGGACAUCCUGCAAGGCAUGUGAUAGAUGUCAUCACUGGGGGUACUUCUGGCAAGCUUAUUGGGAAGAAGCGCCGAAGUUACUUGGAUUCAGUCAUGUCAGUGGCGGGUACCCUCCCGAAGACUGAUAGACCUUAUCCGAGUACGGUAAUCUCCUUUACUGAUGAAGAUUACCCUUCGGAAGUCAUCGAACCGCAUGAGGGAUCAUUGGUGCUGACUGCGCAAGUGGGUUCGGUGGAUAUGAAGCGAAUGAUGGUAGAUAAUGGGUCUUCUGUAGAUAUUCUGUAUGCCCACGCUUAUCAAAGGAUGCAUCUAGACGGGCGAAAGAUGGAGAUAGGGCAGGAGGCUCCUUUGUACGGUUUUAGUAAUGAUCCGGUCAAGGUGGCUGGAACUAUUGAGCUACCGGUCAUCUUCGGAACGGCCCCUCAACAGGUAGAAAUUAUUUGCAAAUUUUAUGUUGUGCAUGUAGAUUCUGCUUAUAAUGCUAUUUUGGGGAGGCCUACUUUAAUUGCUUUACAAGCUGUAACAUCAAUCCUUCAUUUCAAAAUUAAAUUUCCUACGGCUCAUGGGGUUGGUGAGGUGAAAGGAGAUUUGGAUCUGGCCAGAAGAUGUUAUAGAAAUGCUGUGAUCACUUAGGGAGUGGGGGUAUCGAAACAAAAGCAGACCAUGGCGAUAGAGAUUGAACCCUUCACUGAGAGUAGUUCCGAACCAUUGGUCAUGCCAGCUGAAGAAACAGAGGAAAUAGAGCUCAUCCCGGGCAAGGUGAACAAGACGGUGAAAAUAGGUUCGGGUCUGCCGGAACCUCUCCGGACGAACCUCAUGGAGCUCCUGCGAUGCUAUGUUAAUAUCUUCGCAUGGGAACCUUAGGAUAUGCCGGGAGUAAGCAGGGAUAUUGCUGAACAUCGGUUGGAAGUGGAUCCGUCAAAGAAACCAGUUCGACAGAAGAGGAGGAUCUUUGCACCUGAACGACAGCGGAUCAUCGAUGAAGAGAUCGCAAAACUGUUGGCAGCUGACUUCAUUUUUGAGAUCGACUACCCGCAGUGGAUGGAAAAUGUGGUGUUGGUCCAGAAACAGAACGGUAAAUGGUGAGUCUGCAUCGACUAUACCGAUCUGAACAAAGCUUGUCCAAAGGAUUUCUACCCGCUGCCCCACAUCGAUCAGCUCAUUGAUGCCACUUCGGGGUACGCUUUGUUGAGCUUCAUGGAUGCAUUCUCUGGAUAUCAUCAGAUUUCCAUGUGUAAAGAGGAUAUACCGUAGACGGCGUUCAUUACGCAUCGUUCGGUAUAUGCCUAUAAGAAAAUGACCUUCGGCCUCAUCAAUGCCGGGGCCACAUACCAGAGGAUGAUGAACUACGUCUUCAGAUACCAGUUGGGUAAGAAUAUGGAGGUGUACUUGGAUGACAUGAUUGUUAAAAGCAUGCUGGUACGCAAACAUCUGGAUGAUUUAGAAGAAUGCUUUCAGACAAUUCGCCAUCACAACUUGAGACUAAAUCCCACUAAGUGCACCUUCGGUCUAGGGGCUGGCAAGUUUCUGGGUUAUCUUGUCAGUCAAAGAGGAAUUGAAGCCAAUCCAGAGAAGAUUCGAGCGAUCCUGAGCAUGAAGACUCCUCAGUCAUUUAAAGAUGUUCAACGUCUGACUGGAAGGAUUGCAGCUUUAAGGAGGUUCAUGUCCAAGUCGGCAGAAAGAUGUUUGCCGUUUUUUGAUACGUUGAAAGGGCCGAAGAAUGCAAAGACGUUCCAAUGGACUUCGGAGUGUGAGGACGCCUUUCAAAGCAUCAAGUCCUACCUAUCUUCGGCGCCUUUGUUGGUGAAACCCGUUCCUGCUGAGCCUCUAUAUUUGUACUUAGCAGCUAGUUCGUUGGCAGUAGGAGCAGUUUUGGUGCGUGAAGUUGGGGGUAAGCAGCACCCGGUUUAUUAUGUAAGCCAUGUCCUUCGGGAUGCUAAAACAAGGUACCCAAACAUUGAAAAGUUUGCUUUUGCUUUAAUAACUGCUAGUCGAAAGCUUAGGCAAUACUUUCAGGGUAGAUUGGUAAUAGUAUACAUAGAUCAGCCUUUGAAGAAGAUUAUGAGCAGACCUGAGAUAUCGGGGAGAUUAGCUGCAUGGACGAUGGAGCUGUCCCAUUUUUUCAUUGAAUAUCAUCCCCGAACCACCAUCCAAGGGGAAGCCUUGGCUGAUUUUGUAGUUGAAUGCUCGUUUUCUGAAGCUGAUGAAGUUGUGAUAGAAGCUGAAGGAUCUGACAGAGCAGUUGCAGUUCUUCAGCAGAAGCAGAGUUCGUGGACGUUGUAUGCAGAUGGGUCUUCUACUACGGACAUCAGUGGAGCAGGGAUUAUUCUGACGAGUCCGGAGGGAUUCAAGGUGCAACAGGCCAUCAGAUUUCAGUUCAAAGCAACAAACAACGAAGCUGAGUAUGAGGCGGUACUCGCAGGGUUAUGACUAGCGAAGAGUCUUGAAGUGUAGAUAAUAGUCAUCUUCAGUGAUUCUCAGUUAGUUGUUAAGCAACUCUCUGGGGAGUACGAAGCUCGAGGCCCAAGAAUGAUCAAGUAUUUGGCAGAAUUGAAAGAACGGCUUCAGUAUUUCCAAUCCUACGAGUUUCAGGGGGUUGAGCGUAAUAAUAAUUCCAUUGCUGAUGCACUCUCCAAACUAGCAACUACGGAUGUUAACGUCUUUGAUGGGUCGGUUUACUUAGAAAUUUUGCAACAUCCUAGUGUUCAUCAUGAAUCGGUGAUGUGCGUUGACCGAACCAACUGCUGGUUGACUCCAUAUCUGGAGUAUCUGGCAGAGGGCGUCUUACCUUCGGAUCGGAUGCUAGCCAAGAGAAUCAAAUACAAAAGUGCUAAUUUUGUUCUGAUUGAUGGGGAUCUGUUCCGAAGGGCUUUCUCGUCUCCACUACUGAAAUGUUUGACUCCAUCUGAAGCUGAAUAUGCUCUACGAGAGGUACAUGAGGGCAUCUGUGGCGACCAUAUGGCUGCUAAGUCAUUAGCCUACAAAGUACUUCGUCAGGGGUAUUACUGGCCUACCAUCUUCAAGGAAGCGACUGAGUACGUCAAGAAGUGCGAGAAGUGUCAACUCAACAGUCCAAUACCACAUCAGCCACCAGAAGAGACCACCUUUCAUUAAUAUUUAAUUUGAUUACAAAAUAACAUAAAUUUUCAUAAAUAUUCUUAAAUAAAAUCCAGGAAAGACGAGUAUUCACUUCAUGCAUCAUCCUCGCCAUCUGAAGAGUCAAGCAAAGUUGGGUCCACGUUAGUUGUAAUCAACUUCUCCUUGCCACGACUCCGGCAGAGCUCAUAGCUUUCAGAAUAUAUCUUCAUGAUCUCUCCGUUGAUCUCAUCCGAGUUCCUAUACUCUUCACAGAUCUGUUUGCGAAGGUCAUCGGUUAGAGGAGGCCCAAGGUCCCGAAGAGCCUUGAGCUCUCGGAUUUCUUCUUCCAGCUUCUGACGCUUAUUCAGAUGACGAGUCUCUGCUAGCUCUAGUUUUUGGAUGGUUUUAGUCAAGAUCUUAGCAUCAGCCUUUAGCUCUUUGAUCUUCUCCAUCCUUAUUUCGCUCCUCUGAACCAAAUCAACAUUCAUCUUGACGAUCUCCUUAUACUGUGCUUUAGUUGACUUCAGUUCUUCAUUGGAUGUCUUCGCAUCUCCUUUGGCUUGGGCCAACUCUUUCCGAAGACCCUCAUUCGUGUGAAGAACGCUCUCACGUUGAGUCCUUUCCCGAGCCAGAGCAGACUUCAGGAUGGCAUUCUCCUUCCUCAUUGCCUCUUCUUCGGAUUCAGCUUCGAUAGACUUUGGACGCAGACGCCCGAAUACAGCAUUGGCAUACAUAUGUUCAAUCUUGUUUGAUCAUUAUCAAAUGUAUAAGUAUGAAAAUAAAUACAGAAAUUAAGGAGAGAACCAUUUACCUUCGCCAGGUAGCUCAUGCCUUCGCUAAGCAAAUCCCCAUUCGAACUGUUCCCGAAUCGAUGGUCAUCGGUUUCACGGACGAAGGCGUCAAAUAGUUGAAAAGGAAAGUUGGCAUUAAAUCGAGGCCACAUGGUUGGAGAGGCCAUAGCGUCAUGCUGAAAUUCAGAGGUUGAUUGUCUUGGAGGAGAGGGCAUGGAUUGAUUAUGAAUUGGCGAGGGAUCCACAUGUAUAUUUUUCGGAGAGGGAGAUUGAACAGGAUUAGGUUCGUGGACUAGUGAGGGAGCCGAGGAUGAACCUGGAUGGCUACCUGAUGGAUGUUUCCUCUUUCGAGAUAAGAUGGGGACAGAUCCGACCAGUUCAUCAUCAGGCACUUGAAUUUCAGUUGGGACUAUUGGGGGAAUGUCAGCCGAAGACGAUGGAAUUCAGAGCUCAUCGGCAGUCAAAGGGGUAAUCUUUGACCUUAUCUUCUUAGCACGAAGGACCUUCGCCCGAUCGUGUAGAGGUAUAUCAAGUAGGCUUCUCUUAACUGGGGCAGAUUUGGAAGGUGCAGAACUAGGGUUGGAUGAAGGGGUUGUUUGUGGAAUUGCUUCGGGAAUUGUUUCUGGAUCACUUUCAGGAUUUGUUUCCGGCUGGGUGGAUUUGGAUUUCUUGGCGGCUCUUUUCCUUCGGCGAGGUCUGAGGGAUUCUUCGGGAACGAUGGGUUCAUCAAUUUGGGGUUCGUCAUUCCGAGGAGAAACAAUUGGUGGAUCGGUGACGGGGGGAUCAGCUCGGGAAGAUUCUUCAGUCGAAGGCUCUUCACUCGCAUCCGUAAUCUUCCCUGCCAAAAAGUCUUCCAAUUCUUUUACUUCCGAAGAAGUUGGUUUGAUCAGAGACACUGCAAAUAACCAUGUAUCAGAACCCAUAUCAAUUAAAUAUCUCAAAAAACUGUGCUACAAAGUUAUUCAAAACUUACAUUUAUGGUCAUAUAGCCAGGCUUGCUUAGUCAGAAGUGCAAAACUCCAUUCCUUCGGAGGAAUCUUCUUCAAAAAAUCUGCCAUUUCCUUCACACGCUCUUCGGGGAUAUCUCCAAAGUCAGCAGAGAUCCGAUCAGAGAUAGUCCAAUCUGGAAGAGAAGAGAUUUCGGGUCCCGUAACAAAAAACCAUUUUUGGUGCCAACCCUUGUUGCUUGAAGGGGUAUCCAUCAGGGAUCUCUUAUCAAAUCUGGGGUUGGGUCGAGGAGACUGUUUGCUCAACAUUUUGAAACCUCGUUCUCGGGACCUACCGGCUGAGAAGAGGGUGAAGAAAAUGUCGACAAAGGGAGGAAUCCCUAGUUCGUGACAGAAGGCAACGAAUGCCAGGAUGUGGAUGUAGGAAUUAGGCACCAACUGGACAAAACCCACUCCUAUAAACUCUAGGAGGGUAACGACGACGGCAUGAAGGGGUAGAGGAAUCCCCUUUUCAAGAAAAGUAACUGGCAUAGCGACCCAACCAUCCGGUCGAUGGUACAUGCGUUCUUCAGGAGCGGGAGCCCUUAUAGCGUACAUAUCCGGAAUCUUAUAGCGAGCUCGGAGGAUACGUAUCUCAGAUUCCGUAACAGUGGAGGGGAUAUUGGUAUGAGGAAACUGUUCCCCAUCCUUAAAGAAGUCGGAAGGAGGCAGAGAAGAGAUCAGGGGCGGAUUCUUCCCUAUGGUUGUUGUGGAUUGGGGAUUUGAACUCGAACUCUCUUGGUUAGGGUUUGGGUUGGGGGAAACGGUGCUAACGGGAGUCACGCGAAGAGGAGAAUUUUGGUUAGAGUUCACAAUCACCAUUGUUGAGAUUUCGUAAAACAGAGAAGGAAGUUCUAGGAAGGAGAAGAAAGCUCAAAGGUUCAAAGUUCAAAUUGGCAGGUAAAACCGUCAAAAUUGGUAAAAUUUGUCUUUUAUACUGACGGUUACAUGGUGUACGAGGCCGACACAUUAAAUGUUAGUAAUAAUGAGAAUUCGAAUGGGAAGCGUCCGGAUCAAUCCUUAGAUAUUUUAUCAGACUGGGCCUCUCGGUUGGAUUUUUGGUUUUUAGACCAUCUUUCUCAAUCUCAAUCCUCUAUUGACUGGGCCUUUUACUCUGGACAUUCAGCCAUUCCCUGUCUCAUCUUAUGGACCAAAUUGGGUAUGUCUCAAUUACCUCAUGUUAUGGGCCUUUAGUAAAUUCUAAUAUCAUGGACCAUUUAUAGUUUUCUAUUAAACAUUCUGUUCAACAAAAAACUAGGGGGCAAUGUUGGGUCAUGAUAUUUCCCCUCUUUGGGCCAAGUAAGUUGGGCUCACUUGUUUAAUUAAUCUAUUGGGCCAUCAUUAUUGAACCUUGAAAGUCACUGGGCCUAGUCUCCAUAUUAUUUCUAUUUAAACCUAUAAGACCGUGUCGGUUCAUGGGACUAACACAUUGGAUCAUUAAAUAUCUAUUUCUUUGACUUGUAAUGAUGAAAAAGCAUGACAAUUGACUAAGACACCUGCCAUGCAUUAAUGUGGAUGCGAUUAUAGCCGGCCAGCGGCAUAAACAGUGACCAAAGGUAGUGAGUAGAAUGCAGGCGGGCGGCAGGACCCAUCAGAUCACGGUGGCUGUGUCAGAGGUAGUGGGUGGCACGAUAAAUCGGGCAAAGAGAGUAUAAGCUAUCAACUAAGUCUACACAAACAGGUACGUUCUGAUACACGUUCACAUUCAUAUUCAUACACACAACUGAGAAUUAUUAUCUCUCUCAAUACACUAGACAUUACAUCCUCCAUUGCUAACCUUGUGAACAUGUAAACUUACUCUCACGCCUGAGCUAUCCCCCGACGGUCCGGCCGUCAAGCUUGUGGUGUUUAUCGUGUUUACUGUGCAGGAUCAGGGCGUCUUACAUGAUUGGGACGUUGGAGAAGAUCCUGGCGUUAACAGUGCCGUAUUUGUGAAUAGUGACGUAUACGUGAAUAGUGUCGUAUACGUGAAUAGUAACUCCGAUACUAAAAGAUAAAAAUUUCACAAAAAAGAUCAUCAUGCUUCGUGAAUAGUAACUCAUGAAUAGUAACUCAUGAAUAGUAAUUCCGACAUGAAAAAGUUCCAAAUUUGAUAAAAAGUUCUAACCAAUAUUUCGGCAUAAUGAUAUUGAAGAAAUAAUAUCAUUUGAGAAGAAAAUAACAUCCCUUACCUUGUAAAGACAGUACUUCUAGUUGAAACACCGAAUAUAAGCUAUGACUUGAACUUACACCGUAUAACAACACUCAAAGUAUUAAAAUACUCACAAAAUACGCUUAAUAUAUAGAGAGAGAAAGAGAGAGAAAUAUGCAGUUUCUGGUGUGAUUUUCAAUUCUAACCUAAGCACCCUAUUUAUAGGAAAAUGCUUAGAACACCAAAGUAGAAAAUUUAAUAAAAUAUUAAUAUAUAUAUUAAAAUUUUCUACGCACUCAUACCAACUGAUUUCCAACUCCUAACACAUGCCUACAAAUAACAAAAACGUUUUUCUAACUAAAAAUAAUUAAAACUUCCAAAAUUAAUUAUUUCGAAACUAUGGAAUUUCAAUAAUUCAUAAUAAAUAGCCCUUUAAUCAUAAAAUUCAAAUCUCGCGACUUUUUAUAGGAAAUUCAAUUCUCUACAACUUUGCAGAAGAAAGUUUUUCCAAAUUUCAAACAAAAAUUGACCGAAAUCCACAUACGGAUGAUUUUACAGGCUAUAAUCAAAUUUCAGUCAAGAAAUGGGCCCACAGACAUGUUUAACAUGUUUUAAACAACUUUUACAAUAAAAAUACUUUCUCCUCAUAUACUCAUAUAUUCCACAUUCAUUGUAAAAAUAUCAUCAUUAUUAUAUUAUAAUAAUAUAAUAAAAUAUUAUUUUAUCAAGAAAGAUAAAAUAUCGAUUUUCAACAAUUGUCACUUUAAAAAUUUUCUCCAUCUAUAUCCACAUAAAAUCAAUAUUUUCCUCAUCAUAUAAAUCAAUAAUUAAUUAUUCACAAAUAAUAUUACAGAAUCACAAUAUUGACAACCAGGCAGUUCCCAGGAAAGAGGGGGCUUUCCAAUAAGAAUUUCUCCUUACUGGCGCGCAAUUAGGUGACCAAACCUCUCCUUAGACAGAACUUUCUAGACAUUGCCAAUAAUGUUAUCUAAUAAUAUUAUUCAGAUAAUAUGAAUUAUUGCUUCGAUAAUGGAAAAUACUGUGUAGUGACAAUUAUUGAAACAACAGUAAUAUAAAAUAUCAACGCAGCAAUUAUUGAAUCAAUAAAAUAAAAUACUGAACAGUAACUACUGUAACAAUUAUUGAGUAGUGCCUUCUUACGUAAGAAUCAAUAAUUGGUGCAAUACCGUGUGCUACUGUGCAACAACGCGUAUUACUGUGUUUUAACCACCGGAUAUUCCAACAGUGUUAACGGUAACAACUACACCGUUAUUUAUAAACAACUUAUACUUGUCGUUUUCUUCAUCCAAUCGUUUUCCGUUAUGGGGCCCACAAAAGACUGCGCCGUCGUACAAAUAUUCCCCGACAGCAAGAAUAUUCCACGACCAAACGAAUAUUUCCCGACAACAAUGAAUAUUUUAUAACCACCUGCUUAUUUAAAAUAUUUGCGCAUUUUACCCAUAAGUAACCACAUUAAUCAAAUCAACCCUUAUUAUUUCAAAAUAAUAAAUAGAGAAAAUUAAAUUUUAUUCAUUAAUAAUUUGGGGUCUUACAAAAUAAAAGAGGGACAAAAUAGAUACUAUUAAUAAUCUAUCUAAUAAAAAAUAAAUGAUUUUGAAUUUUCUGCUCACUCAAUAAAUCAUAUGGGCCGUUCAAAGUUUGAGAUAAAUUCUACCCUCCAUACAGUGCCGGAGACACGGGACCUAACUAGUCUAUCUAAUAAAAUACAAAUGAUUUUAAAUUUUUUGCUCACUCAAUAAAUCAUUUUGAUCGUCUAAAAUUUGAGAUAAAUUCUACCGUCUAUAUAGAAUCGAAAUCACAGGUAUAUACAUAUUUCACAAAGGCAAUGAUGUUGAUAUUUGUUGAAGAGUAAAACGGUGGUUCGGUUAAAUCCUCAAGGUACUCUUAAAUCUCUCAAGUAUUUAUCUGUCCCUACAUAAAGAACAGCUAACUGAACAGUAAACUUUUAAUUCUAUUUUGAACUAGCUAGUAAGGCCUAUUUUAUUACAAGUAGACUUAGGGACUGUUUGAUUUCAGUUGAGUGGUUUAGUUAUUCAGUGUAUUUAUUUUGAAAAAAAAUUAUUGAAUGACUGAAUUGGUAAGUCAUUCAGAUAAUUUUGAGCUGAUUGAUUCAGUUCAAUUUUUUUGACAGAAUGAGCGACUGAAUGAACUUUUUUUUUUUACAAUAUUAACUAUUAUAUUAAGUAAUAUUAACUAAAUUUACAGCAAUUCUUUGAAUUUUUUUAGAGGGGGAAAAUAAUAAAAAUAUGUUAUUCAAAUAUUUCAGACAUGUCAAUUAUCAAAUAAUUUUUUUCAUUCAAAUUCAGAUUCAGAUCAGAUUCAUUCAGUUUUUAUCAAACAAUCGCUUAGAAGUUGAGGGAUCCGGUUAGCAUGAAGUUAUUUUUUUAGUAAGUUGGUCAAUUGGCUAAUAGAAUACUGAUACACAUACCAUCUCGUCCGUGUGUCAGUAUUUUAUUGAUCGAUUGAUUAAUUUAUCCCAAAAUAAAUUUCAUACUAACCACUUCCGAAGUUGAGUAUGUUUUAUCCUAAUAAGCAUUCUGUUUUUUCACUUAAAUAGUAAAUUAUAGAAAAGAAAAAGAAAAAGACAAAAAAUAUAACACUGAGCAGUACAUGAUAGGUUCGGGUUCACAUUCCAAUAGAGCACCAGUUACUUUUUGUCCCGAGAAGGUCUCUUCCAGUGAACUUCUUCUCUAUUUUCUGAAAUACUUUUUUCCCCUCAACCCACGAAGGAAUAUUUGCUUUUGUAGCUUAAAAAAAAAUAAAAUUCCAUUUACUCUUGAGUACUAAAUUCAGCAAUAAAUAGUACUCACAUAUUUUAAUUUAUCAAUUCUUUUACCAGAAGCCCACCAAGGCACCAAGAAAGCAUAUUUGUGUGCAUUGAGAGAGAGAGAGAGAGAAGUGCAAAUUUUAAUUUUGUCAAAAAAAGAGAAAUUCACGUAUCGCACAAUUAAUUAUCUAAAAUUUGUAUUUAAAAUAACUUCAUAAAUCAUAAAUAAUGACCGACUAUUAUUACUUGAUGAUAAAUAUUCAUGAUAUCAGGUGGAAAUUCUCUUCUCUUAAUUCCUACUUUCCUCUUUUUGGGCCGGGUUAGCUAUUUUGGCAACAAACAACCUACAAUUGAAAGAUCCAAUUCAUGGUCUUUUUUUUGGGUAAUUAAACAUAAAAGAUUAAAAUUGACAAGGGGUAUAUUAUAUAUAGCUAGAUAAACAAAUACAAUGAACCUGCAGAAUGAAUGAAUGAAUGCAGUCCACAACAAAGAAACAAAGUCCAGACACCAUUUCUUGUUUCAAGGACGUCCAUAUAUAUAAUUUUAGAUGGUAGUAGUAGAUAUAUAUAUGCUCCCCUGCAUCCCUGUGCUGAUAUUUUAUGUCCCCUAGCUACCAGUACAUGCAUGCAUGUUUGGCUUGUUUUUUUAGCUUUACCUUUCCUUUUCCUUAGCAGUUGAGUUAACCAAUAAUUCUCAGUAAUUAUGUAAUUAAUGCAUGUGUUAAUCCGGGUUUUUGUAGUAAUGGUUACGUGAGUGCAUGUGUGCAAGUUCUAAAGAACUUGAUUGUUAGGGAGUGAUCGAACUUAUAGUUACCAUUUUAGCAACUGAUGCAUUACAAAAAAAUUUGUGCCCUUUUUUUUCUUCAAAUUAAAAAUUGAACAUAUAUAUUAGAAUACAUAAACCUAAUUAAGCUCGAAUACAAAAAAGGCUUUGAAAAUAUCAUUUCUAUUUUCACAUAAUUGUUAAUUUGUGAAAGUAUAUAUAUAUAUAUCAAUCGGAAGUAGUUAGCAUGAAGUUCAUUUUUGGAUAAAUUGGUCAAUUAGCCAAAUAAAGUACUGACACGCAGACAGAGACUCAAUGUGUGUCACUAUUCUACUUGCCGAUUCAUAUCAAUCUAUCAAGUUGUAGUAUCUUAGCUAGGGUUGUAGUCCUUGUAGAGAGGAGAUGAUUGCCUUGAAAAUAAAAAUAGAAAUGGUUGGAUAUCACCAAAGAAAAAACUGUAGAUGGGUACGGUUGAUGCAAUCAGUAGACUAAGCAAAUAUGCACAAGCCAGAAAAAACAAGACAUAAUGAUGAAGAGAAAUGCCCUAACCGACUGACAAAUGACAACCUUCAUAUGCACUACUAGAAUGAAUAGAGUUAGCAUGAAGUUUAUUUUUAAGUAAGUUGAUUAAUUGGACAGUAAAAUAUAUUAAAAUACAUAUUAAACUUUACAUGCGUGUUUAUACUUUAUUAAUCAAUUGACUAACUUACCCAAAAAUAAAUUUGAUACUAACUACUUUCUACUAGUAUAUGUAUAUGUAUUAGUCCAACUCAUGCCUGGCAACAAGCCCGGCCGGCUAUUAGUAAUACUAGGAAACUCAAAUAACAUGUAGGAGUAAUAUUUUUAUUAUUAACAUUUAACAAUAUAUUAUAUUAUAUGUGUUAUGAAUUUAUAUUAAAUUAAUUUAAAUAAGUGGAGUACAUAAUUACAAAUAUACAAAAUACUAAUUUGAAAAUCCAAUCCCAUUAAGGUCGGGAUCGGCGAGCCGGCCGAGUUGGGGAAAAUUUCCAGGCCAGCCCUACUUACUGGCAGUAUUAAUUCCAUGGGUAGCCGUAAGUCCCAUCGCCGACUAGGCACACUGCACUAUAUUUACAAACAUAAUUACUUGACUACGCCUUUAUUACAUCAUCCAAUCCCUAUUCCAAUCACACCAUUCCCAUUCCCAUUCCCAUUCCCCUCCAUCGCAUUACACUUCAGUCUCAACUAAUUUCAGGUUACUUUAUAAUAACAAUAAUUUUUUUAUAAUUUUACGAUAUUUUUUCUAGACCUCAAUUAUUAUUUAUGUAAUGAUAAAUUUGUAGAAUUAUCAAAUUUAGUUAUGAAAAUAUCAAUUCUCUAAUAUUUAUUCCUCAAACAUUAAAAAUUAACUAAUACUCCCUCCGUCCCAAAUUAAUUGUUCAAUUUUAACUUUUUAAAGUCAAAUUGACCAUUUUUAAAACUAAUCUUUUUACUAUUUUUGCUAAAAUAUAGUUGAAGAGAUUAUAACCAAAAGAAAAUAUAUACAAUUUAUUACUAAUCCUAAUUUUUAUAAUUUUAGAAAUAUAUUUAUAUAUGCUUAAUUAUUAAUUCUAAAAAUAGUAAAUUUGACUUAAAAAAGUCAAAACUGAGUAAUUAAUUUGGGACGGAGGGAGUAUUAUACUCCUUCCAUUCCUAUAUGUAGGUCAUUUUAGACUCUCUUUUUUAUUCUUAAUUAUUUGUCGUUUGUGGUUAUCUAGGAGAAUUAAUUACUAUUUUUCCCAAAUUGCCCUUUAUUACUCCACCUAAUCUUUUGAUCCAUAUUUAUGAGAUAAAUGAGGUGAAGGGUAUUAUAGACAAUUGAUACUAUAAUUAAUGCUUUUCAAUCAUUUUCUUAAUUCUUGUGCACAUGUCUAAAACGACCUAUAUUAAGAAACGGAGGGAGUAAUAUUUAUUUCAUUUAAUUAAGAUUAUGUUCCUAAUCAAAUUGCACAAUUUUAUCACAUUUUCAUUAUACAAUAAUACAUUAUGGUUCUAAUUAUAAUAUGCACACAAUAUAUAAAAUCAAUAAUCAUCAUUAUUUAUCAAGAAAUGGAAAAGAUAAUUUAUGCAACUUCCCUUGGCUUUUGCGAGCAAAUAAAAGUAUUUAGAAAACUUUAUGGUUGAUCUCAUCAAGCUAGCAUCGAGGACAUUAUAGAAAGUAGCAUACGGUUCAUAAGGAAAUUUAAUUAUAAAAAAUAAUAAUUCAUUCUGCUAUGUUUUUCAUUGAUAAUAAGCUAGGUUUAUACCAAUAAGUUUAUUACUUUAGAUAUAUAUUUAAUUAUAAAUAAUAUUGGUAAUAACUUAAUUUAUUACAUAUGGAGGAAUUCUGUGAUUAAUUUUAUGUUUGGAUGGAAAGUGGUUAGCAUGAAAUUUAUUUUUUGAUAAAUUGGUCAAUUGACCAAUAGAAUGCUGACACUUCUAUAUUUGUCAGUAUUUUAUUAAACAAUUAAUUAAUUUAUCAAAAAUUAAACUUCAUGCUAACCGGAUCCGUUUGAAUGUAAUGUUAGAAAAAGUAGUAAGUUUGUUUAGGUCAUAGAUUCGCUCAUAGGAAUCUACUUAACUCAAUGAGUACUCCUACUUAGUUUAAAAGGAAGGACCAACCGACCGACCGACCGACCUAAGAUUUAGGUAUAUGUCAUGUUAAUUACAACUACUCGGUUGAAACUUGAAAUGAUUCAUGUAAAGGAAACGAUUACUUAUAAAGAGAGAGUGAUACCAUGCACCCAGACAGACAGACCAAAUAAAUUAAUAAUAAAUACCCCCGACAUUGUUUCGUCGGCCGAGGAGAGGACUGAGGAGGACUCUUAAGAUUUGCUUGUACGUCUCUCUUUCAAUUUCAAGUUACUACUUCAAGUUCUUGCUUGAAUCGUGUGAAUCUCUCUCACUCAUGGCGACGCCACACUCUAAAUUGAAAAAUGGAGAUUUGCAUGUCAGUUACACAAUUUAAACUCCUCCUUUUACUCUCAUCUUCUUUAAUCAUGUUUUCACUUCAUUUUCUCUCUCUCAUAAAAUAAAAUUAACAAAACUGUAAAUUUAAGGAGUUUUAUUAUCUUCAUGAUGUGUUCACUCAUUAUUAAAAUGCCACUCUUACCAAACCUAUGAUUAUUAUUAUUAGGAAACUGAUAUUUACUUAAAUUUUUUUAAUGUUUUUGUAUGUGGAGUCUAUUUUUUAAUCAAAUCAAUAUUAAUAUUUAAUUUAAAAAUGAGUUUUAUAUGCAAAAAUAUCAAAAAAUGUUGCGGUAUUAUUAUUAUUAUUAUUGAGCUCAAAGAAGUGAUUUACAAUAAUUGAAAACCUCUCGUUGAGCUAAUGGUUGCCUUUUGGUUAAAAUCAUUUAAAUUUAGUCCAAGAUCUGAAGGAAAAAAAAAAUCACUGUCCAAAUUUAUUACUUCAUCCGUACCCAAACAAUGACCCAAGGUAAAAAUGUUUUUUUUUUAAAACAAUGAGAUAAAAUAUAUAAAGUGAAGGAUAAUCAAGUCAAUUAGUAGAGUCUAAUAUAAAAAAUAAAAGUAGUAAUUUUGUGGAGUCGUUAAAGAUAAAUUUGAAUUCUUUUUAUUAUCUUUUCUCUAUUUAUAUAUUUUUUUUAAUAUGUAUACAAAUUAUAUUUUGUUCAUCUUUAAAUUAAAUAAAUAAAUAAAUAAAUAAAACUUAUUCAAACGAGCUUGUUUUACCAAUACAAUGAUUUAGUGGAGCAGAGAACAUUGGGGUCCAUAUAAGAACCUUGAAACAGGCCUUUGAAGAGUUGAUAUACGUUGUAGUUUAGAAGGUCCAGAGUCAAACUAUAGGUGCUAUAUUGGUCAAUAGAUUGGGCUAAGAUUGAAAUUACCUUCUAAUACUUGUUAGUGGGGUAGUAAUAUUGUAGGAGGGACACUUGGGGUUGAAUAAAAUAGGCCUUUAUAGUUUAUAAUGUUCAAGGCGUGGGACAUGGGUUAAGUUCUAUUUCUUACUCUCUUUUUUCUGUAAUUAAUUUUCACUUUCACUCAACUCAGUAAUUUAAAUUUGGAAUUAAGCAAUACAAGUAUAUAUUUUGGUAAAGUUUUAUGUUUCUAAUAAUGAGAAGUUGAGAACCAUAUCAAGAAAUCCUUUUAUUUCCCCUUUUGCCAUACCCAACCCAAUGAUGAAACCUCAUGUAUAAUGAAUUAAAAUAAUUUGUUUGUGAAAAAUAAAGGAAGAAGAAUAUGUAAAAUAACACAAAAUAAUCAUGCAUGGAUCAUGUACACUUAAUAUUUCUGGAGCUGACUAGUCCCCACCACAAUAUUCAUGUUGGUAUGGUGGAUAUGAUUUGUUGUUCUUAAACACCUUAAUAAAAAGCUGCUAUGACAGAAAUGAGAAGGAUAUAUAUAUAUAUAUAUAGCAAAAACAACAAGGGAUGUGGAGAGCUGGAUGCUUUGUCGUUGUCUCUGGAGAUGACUAUCGUCUUUUUAAUUGGCAGCUAUUUCUUCGUCAUAAGGCCGAUUGGUGCUAGGGGGAAGGCCUUGUGUUUUUUCAGUCUCUUGCUCCUCAAUUAACUGAAACAGAAUGAUCAGGUGGUUCUACAAUAAUCAUAACAUUUGAACAAUAUUUUCAAAACAUUUAAUACAGGGGAAAUUAGGGAGCAGAAUCCCAAAAGAUACAAAUUAAAUUUCCCUUGUCAAACCAACAACGGAUUUAGAUCCUAAAAAUAAAAAAAAUUCUAGCCGAACAAGAUUUUAUUUCUUCAUUAGCAUGAACGUGAGAUCCACUCUGAAUGUGGAUUCGAACUUUGGAGUGACAAUAUAUACACGUACGCUAUACAUAUCACUUGCAUGUCAAGUUCUUGAGUUGCUUCUUCUUGACAAAAACAUCCAUGUUGCAAUUCAUGUUGGUGGAUCUGUUAUUUUUCAAUAGCUUCAAUAUUGUGAUCCUUCCUCUCAAUUUAGAUUGCAUGCUUAUCGGCAAAAUCCCCGAACCCAAAUCCUGGACGAAUGCCAACGAAUUCGUCGGUAUAUUUGUUGAUGUCAACUUCACAUUUAUACUAAUCUUCCUUGUGGAGCGUGCUCGAGCUCGUGCCCCUCGAACAAACGCCCUCCCUAUCUUUACGUCCCAAUAAUAGAAGUACACAGUAGUGUUUUCAUAUUUGUAGUGACCAAAAUUUGUGUUUUUGACACUAAAUUCAGCUUUCAAUGUAACAACGAACGAAGGGUUUGUCGUGUUGCCAACACUUAAGGUGUUGAGAUUUGCUGACCAGACGCGGAAUUUUGGAGUUCUGAAUUUUAGGAUUGUGAGUGCAAACACCAAAAUUAAACCCGUCUCUAACGCAGUAAGUGCAACAAUGUACAAGUAAAAUUUGAGGCGGUUUUUGAGUUUAGAGCGCCGUUGUGAUGCGGCCGCGGCCGCGGCUUCGGCUUCUUUGUCUCGUCCGGUAUGACAACUUGUACAAGCUAAUGGAUGUACCGGCUCCUCCUCCUCCGCCUCCUUAUCUGCCAUCAAAUAUUGAUUUUUGAUAGUGUGUGGAUACAGAGCUAACUAGGGAGAUUGAAUUCAUACAUGAGUAUUAUAGGGCAUUAUGAUCGUAUAUGUAGUAGUAUCUUACUUUGGUAUAAAUAUGUAAUUCGUUUAAUGUGUGUUUGGCAAAACUUUUAUUUUUCUGAUUUCUUUCACUAAACAAGAGGGUUACUUUUGAGUCCAAAUUUGUGGGCUGGGCUAAUAGUUGGAUUUUCUUAAAGUGAAUGAUGAGCCUUAUAUCUCAAUAAUUCAGUGUAUCGUGGAAGAGAUUCUAGUCCUCCAGAAGAUCUCAUUUUUCAAAGGUUUUUUUUUUUGGCAUUUUAUUGUUUGUGGUUGUUGCUUUCAAGUCUUGUACACCUAAUAUUAUAAUUUCAUUUAUUUUUGAAACCAUCUCCUUUUUUUCUCUUGCACUUAUAACCUUUUAUUCACUAGAAGUCCAUGAUGUUACGUUUGGAUUGAAAUAAUAAAUGUGGAAAUGAAAUGAUUCAGUAAAAAAUUGUGUUUGAUUGCGAUUGAAAUGGAUUGAAUAUUUUUUUUUGUUGCUAUUUUCGACUGAAAUUUAACAUUCUUGCCCAAGAUUUCACGGUCAAAGUGUUAUGAGUAGUUUUUUUAUCAUUGAGCCAUAAGGGUCUUGGGAAGGAGAGUAUGAAAUAACUCAUUCUAACUAGAAUGGAAUGAAUCAUUCCAAUAUUCAUUCCAUUCCUUCAAUCCAAACGCAGCAUUAAUUAAAUCACUUCAAUAAUACACAAUGAAUCUUGGAGAUUUUGCAAGAUAUCUCUAUAAUACCCAGAAAAAAAUAAUAAUAAAAAAAAAUAAAAUAAAUAAAUAAACAAUAUUCAACUCUUUUUUAAAAUAUUCUAAUUGGAAUUAGCCUACCAAGAAUCAAAAGGAGAUACUUUUCUUUCUUUUUAUUUUUCUGUAUAUAAUAUAGAGUUUUAUCAUUCUAGUUUCAUAAUUUAGAAUCUAGAAUACAUAUGCUAUGUAUGUCUCAUUGUUGCAGAUAAAUUGGCCAAGAUUGGUCCUGAUUGCAAUAGUAUAGGACAUAACAAUGAACAAUUGCACGUAAAAAGAAAAAAAAUACCUUUGGCUCUAUUUUCCUCUGGGUUAGAUGAGGCACUACCAUACUAGGCAAUAAUCAUAGGCACCACAUGUAAAUUGAGACUUUCUUUAUAGAAUAAUACUCUCUCCGUCCCAUAAUUAUAGGCUAAUUUUUUAUUUUAAGAUGUCCCAAUAUAUAGACUACUUAUUAUUUAUAAAAUUUAGUUGAUUCAUUGUUUUACUUUUAUGCCCUUAUAAUAAAUAUUCAACAAUUACUCUUUUUUUGAAGAAACAACAUUCAAUGUCAUUAUUUUUAUCACUACAUUUAAUGUUGUUAUAUUCUCUUUGGUUAAAGUUUAUAGAUUUUAAUGGUCAGUACACGUUAAUCAAUGAAGUUGAGAGUUCCAGUGUGAUAAGUAAGGAGUAAUUAUCUUAUUCAUUAAUUCUAUAUUAAGGGGUGGAAAAUUUAUGUUAAAAAUUGUCACUUAACUGAUUUUCUUAAACUAUGUGCCAAAAGAAAUCAGCCUAUAACUAUGGGACGGAGGAAGUAAUAAUAAAAUCCCGAGGUUAAGAUGAGAAUAGGCUUCAUAUGGUCCAGCAUGUUAACUAAUUGACGAAUAACUUAUUUUGGUGUAAUUCAUUUUUUUUAUACAACCAAAUAUUAUAAAAAUAGAUGUUUACAUGAUAUUGAAUAGAUUAUUUAGUUACAACUUAAUGUAAAAUAAUAAUAAUUAAAGAAAAAUAAUAUUUUUAUAAUAUCACUUAGAAAUGUAUUAUUUUGGUGAUUAGUUCAGACGAAGAGAGUCUAAACGAGUUGAAUUUAGAAUAUAAAUUUUUGGAUAUUACAUUGUUUAAUUUAAGUACGGAUUUCAUAUUCUUUCAGCAAUAAUCUUUUUAAUUUUGAUUUGUUCGUUUUGCUUUUCGUGUAGAAUUUAGUUAUUGUUUUACCUGAUUGUUCUUUCUCAAAUUAGUGUAAAUGUUUCGUUUUGGCGUCGAUACUUGGAACUCGUAUUUCUACUCUUUAGACUAAUGCAUCAUGUAUAUAAUUUUAUUUGAUGUUCGUAGUAAUAUACAUGUUAAUAUAUUUUUGGAGACUUUGUAUUGAAGAUUUGCUUCCGUUUAACAUGUAUAUAUUAGAACAUCUUUUAUGUUGAUAUUGUGCCGCAUGUGUUGUGACAUGUUAUUUUGUUAAAAUGUACCGUAGAGUAUACCUGAGUUAUAACCACCUGUGGGGGUAUCACAUGCAUGUUCUCUUGGCACUGAGGCAUGACACCUUCUGUGGCGGUGUGACUAGUCCACGACGCCUCAGUUUCAUGAUCCGGUGGGAGUUGACCAUUUGGUUAUUUGUUGUGGGAGACGUAUGGGUCGACCCUAAGUUUUUGUUUUGUUUUGUUCUGUGAAUUGGUAAUGUUUGUGUCUAACACGCCUUUCGAUUUUACAUGCAUUUGGAUCGCGUUCCAAUGUGUGUGACUUGCGUGUGUGACAAUGUAUAUUUCUGUUUUGUUUUGAGCUAGGUAUGAAAUAACACACAAUCAUUUGAUUCAACUUAUUAUUUCGUUGCGUAACUUUUGUUCAUUUCAAUUCAAUUCAAUUCAUUUAAUUGAGUUAAUUAUUUCGUUUCAUUAUUAUUGUAUUCUAUAUCCGUAUUGAACAUUUGACUCAUGUUGUAUUUUUCUUAUAAGAGGUAAUCAGGGGAUAAAGGUCAAGUGUGAUGAGAGCUUCCUUUUUUUAAUGGUUUAAAUAUUCUGUUUAGGCUAUGAUAUAUUAGUUUGUUUGGAGUUAUAAUGUGGUUUGAGCCGGUUUGACCUUUAUUAUAAUUUGUUGUGUGAUAUUUAAUGAUUAUGAAUACUAGUAUUUUUUUGUGACUUGGAGUUUUAUCAUAAAUUCAGCAGUUAUAUUGUGUUUUGUAUAACCUGUCUUACUAUAUCGAAAAUGAAACGUUAGAAUUUCGCUCUCUUAAAAUAUUUACUGUGACGCCCCCAAAAUAGGUUUACAUCACCCAUUCUGAGUUGUCAAUACAUGGUACAGAAACAACUACAACUUUAUUAUUACAACAGUAAAACUGUGAGUUUGAAUACAAAUAUUAU